RNAcentral lists this long non-coding RNA (826 nucleotides) under Olea europaea subsp. europaea. Lineage: Eukaryota; Viridiplantae; Streptophyta; Magnoliopsida; Lamiales; Oleaceae. The record is from RNAcentral.
GUAAGGUCUGUGCGGAGACCUCCCUGCAACACCCUCGCUGGCGAUUUCGAAUUGAACAAAAUCACCUAUUGAAAAUUGGUUUCUCCUUUCGAUGAUGUGUUCCACGUUUAACCUAUUCGAAUUCUGUUUUUCCUUCUUCCACUGGUGGAUUGAUAUCUGAGUGAAUUUCUUUUUGACGACCACUAAUCCAGAGAAAAACUAACAGUGGUUGCUUCAUUUUCUUCCUUCAGAAGCUAUUAAAUUAAGAGAUUAUCACUCAACAGAAGGCGAGAUGUCUCCGACCCUCUGUGCAGCGUGGAGACCAUGACGCACCUCCGCGCCUCCGCGCGGCGCGGAGGCCACCUCCUUGCUAUACCCUCACUGGCGAUUUUGAAUUGAACAAAAUCACCUAUUGAAAAUUGGUUUCUCCUUUCGAUUGUGUGUUCCACAUUUAACCUAUUCGAAUUCUGUUUCUCUUUCCUCCACUAGUAGAUCGGCGAUUUAAUAUCUAAGUGAAUUUCUUUUUGACGACCAAUAAUCCAGAGAAAAGCUAACAGUGGCUGCUUCAUUUUCUUCCUUCAAAAGCUAUUUAAUUAAGAGAUUAUCACACAACAGAAGGCGAGAUGCAUAGACUGAAAACUUACUCAGAUUUUAUUUGAGGCAUCCUUAAAUUAAAGGUAAUUUUUUUCCUUUGAAUUUAUGUUUCUUCAAAUUGAGCAUAAAUCUUGGUUUCAUGAUGGCUUCAAUGAGGUUUUUUAUGAUGAUUUUGCAUAUUUACAGAAUCUUAUCAUUCUAUCAAAAUUAUUGGCUAAAUUUAAAAGCAACAUAAAUGGUACAUAUUCUAAGG